This 81-nucleotide transfer RNA is filed under the name Halobacteriales archaeon. Its description in RNAcentral is "tRNA-Ser". It matches the Rfam family "tRNA". Rfam says of the family: Transfer RNA (tRNA) molecules are approximately 80 nucleotides in length. Their secondary structure includes four short double-helical elements and three loops (D, anti-codon, and T loops). RNAcentral also lists the same sequence under 1 other name. Lineage: Archaea; Methanobacteriati; Methanobacteriota; Halobacteria; Halobacteriales. The record is from RNAcentral.
GCCAGGAUGGCCGAGUGGUAAGGCGCACGCCUGGAAAGCGUGUUCCAUUAUGGAUCCAGGGUUCAAAUCCCUGUCCUGGCG